Molecule: ribosomal RNA, 490 nt
Filed under: uncultured bacterium
Lineage: Bacteria
Description: partial 16S ribosomal RNA
Rfam family: Bacterial small subunit ribosomal RNA
Source: RNAcentral
AUUGAACGCUGGCGGCAGGCCUAACACAUGCAAGUCGAACGGUAACAGGAAGACGCUUGCUUCUUUGCUGACGAGUGGCGGACGGGUGAGUAAUGUCUGGGAAACUGCCUGAUGGAGGGGGAUAACUACUGGAAACGGUAGCUAAUACCGCAUAACGUCGCAAGACCAAAGAGGGGGACCUUCGGGCCUCUUGCCAUCGGAUGUGCCCAGAUGGGAUUAGCUAGUAGGUGGGGUAACGGCUCACCUAGGCGACGAUCCCUAGCUGGUCUGAGAGGAUGACCAGCCACACUGGAACUGAGACACGGUCCAGACUCCUACGGGAGGCAGCAGUGGGGAAUAUUGCCCAAUGGGCGCAAGCCUGAUGCAGCCAUGCCGCGUGUAUGAAGAAGGCCUUCGGGUUGUAAAGUACUUUCAGCGGGGAGGAAGGGAGUAAAGUUAAUACCUUUGCUCAUUGACGUUACCCGCAGAAGAAGCACCGGCUAACUCCGUG